RNAcentral lists this ribosomal RNA (301 nucleotides) under uncultured bacterium. Its description in RNAcentral is "partial 16S ribosomal RNA". It matches the Rfam family "Bacterial small subunit ribosomal RNA", at positions 509 to 807 of the family's 1533-position model. The record is from RNAcentral.
CAGUAGCCGCGGGAAUACAGAGGGUGCGAGCGUUAAUCGGAUUUACUGGGCGUAAAGCGUGCGUAGGCGGAUAUUUAAGUCAGGGGUGAAAUCCCGCAGCUCAACUGCGGAACUGCCUUUGAUACUGGGUAUCUUGAGUAUGGAAGAGGUUAGUGGAAUUGCGAGUGUAGAGGUGAAAUUCGUAGAUAUUCGCAGGAACACCAGUGGCGAAGGCGGCUAACUGGUCCAUAUCUGACGCUGAGGUGCGAAAGCGUGGGGAGCAAACAGGAUUAGAUACCCCCGUAGUCCCUGUCUCUUAUAC